UACAGGGGGGGCAAGCGUUGUUCGGAAUUACUGGGCGUAAAGGGCUCGUAGGUGGCCAACUAAGUCGGACGUGAAAUCCCUCAGCUUAACUGGGGAACUGCGUCCGAUACUGGAUGGCUUGAGUUUGGGAGAGGGAUGCGGAAUUCCAGGUGUAGCGGUGAAAUGCGUAGAUAUCGUAAGGAAGACCAGUGGCGAAGGCGGGUCUCUGGACAGUUCCUGACGCUGAGGCACGAAGGCCAGGGGAGCAAACGGG
This 253-nucleotide ribosomal RNA is filed under the name uncultured bacterium. RNAcentral's name for it is "partial 16S ribosomal RNA". It matches the Rfam family "Bacterial small subunit ribosomal RNA", at positions 524 to 776 of the family's 1533-position model. The record is from RNAcentral.